GACGAACGCUGGCGGCGUGCCUAAUACAUGCAAGUAGAACGCUGAAGGAGGAGCUUGCUUCUCUGGAUGAGUUGCGAACGGGUGAGUAACGCGUAGGUAACCUGCCUGGUAGCGGGGGAUAACUAUUGGAAACGAUAGCUAAUACCGCAUAAGAGUAGAUGUUGCAUGACAUUUGCUUAAAAGGUGCAAUUGCAUCACUACCAGAUGGACCUGCGUUGUAUUAGCUAGUUGGUGGGGUAACGGCUCACCAAGGCGACGAUACAUAGCCGACCUGAGAGGGGGAUCGGCCACACUGGGACUGAGACACGGCCCAGAGUCCUACGGGAGGCAGCAGUAGGGAAUCUGCGGCAAUGGACGGAAGUCUGACCGAGCAACGCCGCGUGAGUGAAGAAGGGUUUCGGAUCGUAAAGCUCUGUUGUAAGAGAAGAACGAGUGUGAGAGUGGAAAGUUCACACUGUGACGGUAUCUUACCAGAAAGGGACGGCUAACUACGUG
This 495-nucleotide ribosomal RNA is filed under the name uncultured bacterium. RNAcentral's name for it is "partial 16S ribosomal RNA". It matches the Rfam family "Bacterial small subunit ribosomal RNA", at positions 28 to 507 of the family's 1533-position model. The record is from RNAcentral.